RNAcentral lists this signal recognition particle RNA (99 nucleotides) under Eubacteriales bacterium. RNAcentral's name for it is "signal recognition particle sRNA small type". It matches the Rfam family "Bacterial small signal recognition particle RNA". Rfam says of the family: The signal recognition particle (SRP) is a universally conserved ribonucleoprotein involved in the co-translational targeting of proteins to membranes. Lineage: Bacteria; Bacillati; Bacillota; Clostridia; Eubacteriales. The record is from RNAcentral.
GACCGGGUCCUGUGCGACCGAAGGACGUGAACCUUGUCAGAUGGGGAACCAAGCAGCAAUAAGCGAGACCGCGGUGUGUUGCAGAAAAACCCGGUUGGA